GUGCUGGGAUGAGCUGGGCUGAGCUGGGCUGGACUGGGCUGUGCUGGGCUGAGCUGGGCUGGCCUGUGCUGGACUGGG
This 78-nucleotide microRNA precursor is filed under the name Chlorocebus sabaeus (green monkey). RNAcentral describes it as "miRNA (ENSCSAG00000023575.1)". Lineage: Eukaryota; Metazoa; Chordata; Mammalia; Primates; Cercopithecidae. The record is from RNAcentral.